This 322-nucleotide ribosomal RNA is filed under the name uncultured eukaryote. Its description in RNAcentral is "partial 18S ribosomal RNA". It matches the Rfam family "Eukaryotic small subunit ribosomal RNA", at positions 1470 to 1796 of the family's 1831-position model. The record is from RNAcentral.
CCCUUAGAUGUUCUGGGCCGCACGCGUGCUACACUGAGUGGAUCAGCGGGUCAGGUUGCGCGAAAGUGUUUCCUAAUCUUGAAAUCCGCUCGUGAUGGGGAUUGACGGUUGCAAUUUUCCGUCAUGAACGAGGAAUACCUUGUAAGCACGGGUCAUCAUCCCGCGCUGAAUACGUCCCUGCCCUUUGUACACACCGCCCGUCGCUCCUACCGAUUGAGUGGUCCGGUGAGGCUUUGGGAUCUGAGCGGAAAGAGCGUUUCGCUGUUUCUGCUCGGAAAACUCAGUCGAACCUUAUCAUUUAGAGGAAGGAGGAGUCGUAACA